This 1100-nucleotide long non-coding RNA is filed under the name Lonchura striata (white-rumped munia). RNAcentral describes it as "domestica (Bengalese finch) lncRNA (ENSLSDG00000011362.1)". Lineage: Eukaryota; Metazoa; Chordata; Aves; Passeriformes; Estrildidae. The record is from RNAcentral.
AGGAAAAGUUAAAGCACCAGUGCGAAACCCCCUCAUUUUGUGGCAAGGGUGGGUUUCACAUUUGCCCUCUGCCGAGGGAGAGCUACAGGAAUUAGAACUCCUAGGCUCUGCAAAAGCUGAAUUUUGCAUUCAAUUUGAUUUUUCCCCAACCAAAGAAGUAAAAUUAUAUGAGCAUGUCAAACAGUACAAGGUAGAAUUCAGAGCAGGUCAAUGGUGCACAGCUGUCUACAAGCUGAAAUUUACAUUCACCACUGAUUUCCGUCCACGCAAGCUGGACAAGGGAAUGUUUCUUAUCUGUGGGGACAGAGCGUACCCAGGAAUCCCCUCUCGUCUUAUUGGAGGUCCAUGCACUUUUGGGCAUCUGACCCUUGCUUCCCCCAACAUGACCCAAAUUCCAACUGGGCAAGCAAAAGGUGAGAAAAAAAUUACUAAGCGGAGUGCAAGUCAAUUUGAUGAACAUUGUGACGCAGAAAUUUACCAUUGGGCAAAAUCCAAAAGAGUUGCCGUCUCUGUGUUUUUACCAUGGGUUGCGGCAGCCAAAGCACGGAGUGAAUUAGGCAAUCUAGAAUGCUGGGUGACCAAGCAGGCAAAUUUAACAUCAGAUGAGGAAAUAACCAGAAAGGCUACCCUCCAAAAUCGGGCAGCUAUUGAUUUCCUGCUGUUGGCACAUGGUCAUGGAUGUAAAGAAUUUGAUGGGUUGUGUUGUUUUGAUCUGUCAUCUAAAGGUCAGAGUGUCCACUCGUCCAUUCAGGAAAUGAGAAGCCUCAUUGGGAAUGUGAAGCAAGAAAAUGAGGAUUGGUUUAAAAAUCUGUUCAAAGACUGGGACUUUUCUGGGUGGGCAGUGUCUCUUUUAAAAAACAUCUUUUACUUUCUAGUUGCAUUGUUUUUAGUUCUGUUAGCAUUCGGGAUUCUGAAGCGGAUCGUCUCCAAGGUCAUCACAUCGAAGCCGAAGGCUUCUGCGCCAGUUUUCAUCGCUGCUGCUGCCACGGAAAGUGAUUGGUGGGAAGAUGACAAGCAGAAAGACACUGCAGUUUAAGAGCCACAGUUUUACCUUCUCCCAAGGCACUGUUCUUCUUAAUAAGUAAAGAAGAGGGAAUUGU